Molecule: long non-coding RNA, 1004 nt
Organism: Drosophila novamexicana
Lineage: Eukaryota; Metazoa; Arthropoda; Insecta; Diptera; Drosophilidae
Exons: 3
Source: RefSeq, a predicted model, not a curated record
UUUUUUGAAAGGUAAAUUUAUUAUGACUCUUGGUUUUUAUUUCGAUGAAAGUCUUAAAGUAAAAAUACAAAUAUAUUCGUAUUUCAUAACCCAUAUGAUGUACCCUUUUAUUAUUCUUUCGCCUUUUGAAAAGGUUCAAGACAUUUGCAAUUGAACCUCUUAUGCUUAGCCCUAUAUCUAUGCGUUUUCUUAUGAUCCUCGAGCUCCUCGCUACUUGAUGACUCUUCAGUGCUUGCGUAUGCAGUAGAAACGUCAAAGGCAUUAUCAAGAGGCCCAUGUCUAGGGUUUUCCUUAUGUUCGGUACUUUCGCUUAAAGAAUAAAGCCAUGAUGAUUCUCCGUCCAUAAGGUGAUGCCACCUUGCACGGUAUUUGCCGCAUGGGCAAGCAGUUGGGGUUUCACCCCCCUUUACACUAUUCUUUUCUAUAUUGGAUUCAGUCGAACCCUCCAUAGUCCCAGCCGUCAUAGCCAUCAGAAAUGGUAAAAUCCACACACAUCCCAUCCUGUAGCAGAUCAAUUAUACACUGAUUAGGUCACUCUUAAGUGAAUUACAUUUAAAUCCUUUUCGGUUACAUAAGAGACUUUGCGUAAAACGCCACGGUGAAACGAAACUAAUGAUCGACUUGUACAUAAUUAUACCCGGUCUCCAUAGAAAAAAGGGGGAAUAUUAGAUUGGCUUAAACCAAUAUAACAGCUACUGACAAAUAUUCCGAUUGGAUACUACUUAAUAAGAGGAACGAGGCGAGUCGAGCCUUGAUUUUCGAUCAAUACUAAACGAGUGUGCAAUGUAUACAAAAUAGCUUGUGCCACACUUUUAUGUAGCUACAAAUACCAAAAGCUUGCAGCACAAAUUUGAGGAAACUUCAAAAUAGGCAGCCAAAAGCAAGAGGAAACCCUUAAAAUAAAAUAUUCUUAAUCUUUAUAUACUGUACGAGACCCUUGAUGCCCGAAACUCUUGCUUAAAAAUCGAUAUUUAUCGAUAUUAAAAAUUAGGUCAACAUUCAGA